Molecule: long non-coding RNA, 4699 nt
Organism: Egretta garzetta (little egret)
Lineage: Eukaryota; Metazoa; Chordata; Aves; Pelecaniformes; Ardeidae
Exons: 3
Source: RefSeq, a predicted model, not a curated record
CCCCAGCUUUGUGCAUUUUAAAUCCCUUUGUGUAUAAGUUUUUAUUUAUUCUGUUUCCUUCCCUACCACUAUCUUUAUGGCUGUAGGGGAAACAUACUAUGCCAGUGUAAAACCAUUUGUAGUUGGUAAGAAAAUUCAGGGAACAGUUCAGGACUUGUCAGUAGUUCAAAGUAAUUUCUUAAAAUACAAUUGGAUUUCAGGCUGGUAGCGUACCUUCAAAGAAGUUGUGGCCACUUAAUCACUUAGAGCACUCUACUAGAAAGCCCCACUGUCCAGUUUAUUCCUUGAACGUAAUUAUUUUUAAGAGAUUCUCACAAUAGAGCAAAAUCAACAAGACUUUUGAUGUAGAUUCAGCAUACACUGCCAAAAAGAGCUUUCUGAUGACAUGAUUAACACCCUCACCCCCAACAGCAUAAACUACAGCAAGAAAAGCACCGUGCUGUAGCAUAGCCACGCUAUACUACAGGCUUGUUUUCAAAACAGUGUCAGUAAAGAAGCAGAUAUUCCACAGCCCAGAAAUGCCAGCAGAAGUUGGUAAUCUAGAUACAGCUCAUGUUUUAAAAUUCUUCCAAUAUCUUUGCUUUCAUACUUGGAAAAUGCAUAGCCCUGGUGACAAGCAGAAGGAAGUAGCCUAACGAGAAGGCAGACUCUUGUUGAGGGUUUUGGGGAGUAAAGGACAAGCUUGAACUAUCAAAUAAGCAGAGUAGAUUGGAAGUCCAGAUUCUUGUGUGACUGGGUACUAUUCCACUCGAUAACCAAAAGGGAUGUUACCCUCCUAAGAAAACAUGGUUGCUUACUUUGUACUCUAAUGUAAAACCAAGACCAUCUGAAAAGACUAAUAACUAUUUGUAACAAAUUUAAGCUUCCUUUAGCAAAAGGAGUAAUUGUGUUUGAAACCAUCACCCAAGCUUGUAAUUUAAAUACUGUAGCAAAAAAAAAAAUAAAAACUGUCCCAAAGAAAAUACAUGAACCUUUUUGGGUACUGUGAUUUCUAAGUGUAUAAAAAGACUGAGAAGAUUUUUUGUGAAAUUGAAGUAAAUGAGCAGUACCUCCAAUAAGAAUUUCCUGGUCAAACCCAAACCAGAAUGGAAAAUGAGGAUAAAAUGCAUAAGGUUUAGUUUGGGUUUUGGUGUAAUGUAGUUCUCCUGUGGUGGGUCGGUAUGUCUUUGCUUUAACAGCUUACCGAAAACCCAGCUUCCUCACAGAGCCUGGUUCUUCUAGACAGGUGGGCUUAAAGUACUGAAAUGUUCCUCUGCUGCAUCCCUCUGAAAACGAAUAGACAGGCGGUAAGUUUCAGAAUUCCUAGUAACUGGGUGGGUGCCAUGGAUAGUGGUCACAGGCCAGUCUGCUCUUGGAGUUCAAUCAAAUAAAAACCGCAGACAAUUCCAACUCAGCCCAAACCCGCAGCCUCUGAUUCGAACAGGAGCAUGCCAGCACUACCUUUUGCAGCAUCCCCUCCUCCCCUUGGCUCUUCCCCCAAAAGCUGUGGAAUGAGGCCAACCAGAAUUUUAGACUGCUAAAAAAGUAGUGAAAUCCUAAGAGAAAAUAAGGCCGUUUUAUACAUUUUGUUUUGGUUUUGUUAUCUUUGUGUUGUUCUCAAGUUGUUCUUCACAGUCAGAAUGAAAAGGGAGAAAAAAUGAAGAUAUUUUCAUGUAACUGCCUGGAAACUUGUGAGGCAACAUCUCACUGCACCACUAAAUUGUAACAUAAUAUCUGGCAACCCGGAGGUGUGGCCUGAGUGGUCUUUAUGUGUAGAAGUAAAUUGCUGUUGUAAACAGUUCUUCUGUAAGGACCAACAUCUGGUUUCAGGAAGACAAGCGGCUGAUCUUCCACUUCUGAGUCAUGAUCUGUCUCCUGACCAGGAGCACUGGUAGUCUUGAGGAACCUGGAUGGGCUUCCAGAACCGAUACCAUGGCUUCACUGCAUGAAUGUUUCCCUCCAGCAAUAUUGAGGCAGAAGCAUCCACUGUAAUUAGAGGGUUGAAACCUAUGUUGUGUAAUUGGUUCUGCUACACUGCACAGAAUGAAUGUCCCUUUUAAAAAGUGGAAGAAGAAAGGAAAACAGGUUAUCUGAGUGAUUACUCCCUGCCUGCCCUGCCAUCUCCUCUAGGAUGACUGAUUCUUGCUUGCUUGCUCUCACUUCGGCAGUCCUGGGAGGAGCAAUCAGUUCUCUCAAAGCUUCUCGGCAAUUUGUCCGACUUCUAACAAGUUUGGGGGAGAAACUGAAUCCAACUGACCUUGGACAAGAGGCUGCAGCUAUGAGGGUGAUGGCUAUGACUUUUUUGGUUCUGCCUAUAAUGGGAAUUUGACCUGGUUCCAUGAAUGCAUGACUACUUUCCUGGACAGCUGAGCCAGCAUAAACCUCUGGUGUAGAAAUAACAACCACCCUGCAGUCCUGACGCUAAAGAUGGAAGGCUCUCCUGAAGAGGACAGAGUGCACACAGUGUGGCCCACACGCCAGCGUCAGGAGGACAGGUAAGGGGUAAAUGGUCAAAAAGCAGAGGCAGCACAAGCGAGCGGUGCCACCCGCCAGCUUUGCAGCAGCUGGGCUCCGUCCUCGGUCGCCGGAGGCCGUGCCCCCCCAGCAUCAUGGCACAGGGGGGCCAUGCGAGCGGGAAGAGAUGUCCAGUGAUGUACUCAGUGAUGCAGACUGAUGGCUGCCGCUGAAACAGAACUGCUCCACGUAGCAAUACGAUUUGUUUCUGUUUGUGUACAUUACAAAUAGGUCACAUAACAAAAUACAGGAAAGGGUUUAAGUGCUGAGAGAGGAAAGUAAGUCCACAUGGCGUGGCUGUAAUAGCUGGUAACAGCACAAGUCUGUUCCUCAGAUCUAAGCGAUGCUUUAGCAGUUUCUCUGCUCUGGCUGAUUUUAGUGCACAACCAUGCAACCGUCAAUUUAUCUCAUUAAUGCUUGGGAGUAAAUUUCAGGUUAAUUGCAAUGUUCUCUGAACCAGACAUGCAGGUUUAGCAUCUGUUUUUAACUGGUAAUUCUGAGCAUCUAUAGCCUGUGUUCAGGUGACUUACAUGCUUAAAUCCUAAUGAGUUAUUUUUAAGCUAAAAUGUCCUAGUUUCAGUUUCAGCUUCACCUGCUGAAUCUUGUUAUUUAUUCCUCUAAAGAAGAUUGGUCACUUUUCAUAAAAAGUCAAAUUCCAGUGUGUUGUAUAAAAAAAACUCUAAAGGGCAAGAAGGACAACCAGAGCUUUUAAUACUUACCAUCAGCACGGAAGCCUUACGAGACAUCAGAAAGUGAUCAUUAGAAAUAACCUUUCUUCUGCAGGGGCAGGUAUUGGUGUUAAGUACAUAAUGAAAUGCAAGGCCACUCUGUCUCCAGGCCCAUUAAAGACUCUUUGGUGAUGCUACAUCAGCACUUUGGUUUAGUGAUGUGUCGUUUUUUAACAAGGCUGUGGCAUGCUGCCAUUAACUUGGUUUUAUGCCUCUCUUGUGUUUUCACAGCCGCAGGCCAGAUGGUUUCAGCAUUAUAUCCUUCCUGUGAUAUGGAAUCUGACCACAGUGCUCCAAAUUACCUUUCAUUCCGCAUGCUGUAUUUCUUGUUUUGUAUUGCCAUGCAUCCAGCGUUGGUCAUUUCGGCUAAAAAAGACCCUGGAAAUUUCUGCAUGUUGUAAGCAGCACGUAGAGCUGGUGACUGAGCACAGAUGUCAAGGGGGCUAUUUAUUCUCCUUGGAAGCCUCAGUUACUGCUGGAUUUGUAGGAUAGGAUAGAGCAACUGCUUUGAAAAAUUCCGUUCAAAUGCUUAGUGCGUGAUCAGAUGGUGAACUAGCCUGGAAGGUGGAGAGAUAGUGCAGUGGUUUCUACUACCACAGCCUUUGGGUGCUUCCUCUACUUCUGAGAUCUUCUGUAAAAACAAGCGAACAAUAUUGCUGCUCGGUAAUGGUAAAUGCAAAGCUCCGGUUCUUCAUUUUCUGCCUCAUUUGGGUAAAGCAACUUCCUCUGCAGCUUUCACGCAUCCUUGGCUGAUGGGGUAACAACUCUCACCCUGCUCUGAUUAUGGCUGCUGUCAUGCCCACUCCUAAAUGAAUACCUGGAUUUGAGAACUCUGGAAAUGAAGUCCAGGCAGGGCAGUGUGAGGACAGGAAUGGUGAGGGAACUACUCCUCUGCUGUAUGCAGAGGGGGGUAGGGCUGUAAAAGGUUGUUAGUGGCAUGUAUCUAGAAGACAGGGAUUUUUUUUUCUGGUGGCACAGGAAUACAUGAACAGAAGUUAAUUUGUGGUUGUGGCUAAACAAUGCAACAAAAUGUGGUCUCAUGAGCAGAGCAGAACUGAUAACAAGCCAGAGAACAGCCAUGUCAGGAAACAGUAAUGCUGAUGUCCACAGCUUGCUGUAGCGGUAGUGCCUAGACAAGAGGUUACAACCAAGACAAGGGGUCCCAUGUGCUACAGAGAGAGGUGAAAUAAACUGUGUACAGCCUCACAGCAAAUCACCAGUAGAGCUGGAGGACAGAUUUAUGACGACCACAAGAUAGCUGAGUAGUUUUGAUAGAAGUAUUCCUUUUUUCCUCCCAUCGUGGGGCAAAACAUAGGUAGAUGUGUGUGUCUGCAUGAAGGAGCUGGGGCAACACUUCAUAGCCUCUGUAGCUUAAGCUCAUUGCAUACAAAAAGGUCCCUUCCAUUCCUCAUUCCAGGAGGAAAUUAUGAAACUGGCAGGCAGAGAAGUGCCAUCAGAAUGAACAUACAUGUCUUAAA